Dicentrarchus labrax (European seabass) is the source of this 1135-nucleotide long non-coding RNA. RefSeq lists it as uncharacterized. The record is from RefSeq and is a predicted model, not a curated record. The transcript has 3 exons. Lineage: Eukaryota; Metazoa; Chordata; Actinopteri; Moronidae.
AAAUGCUACUGAAGGGCCAGUGAUUGUGUCUGGAGCUCAGGGCCUCUCCUCAUGAUCAGUGCAUGAAAUUAGGGAUUAAAAAGCCUUGGUAGAAACAAAGUAAUCAUGCCUGCUUAUGUCGCCAUACGUGUCCAACCUGCUCCCGGUUACAAAGAGCAAAUGGAAUGCAUUAGCCAACAUUUUGCUCUGAGCUACACAGGGACCAUUUCCAGUGGGGCAUGGUGUGUCACUCGUUUCCCAGCACGUUAAGUGGAUGUUCUCCUGGCUAAUGAGCAAUAAUCAACAUUGACUCCUCUUCUUAUUUCUGAGGUCCAUGCUGUGUUAAAUGCUGAGGGUCUCCCGGGCACACUGUAGCCCUGUAGUACUACUCAACUGCAUAAAAAGCAAUGGGUAAUCUACUCAACACAAGAAGCGUUCAUUGAUCUGGGAGAAGGUGGACGGCAGUACCGGGCGGCUGAAAGGGUCCGGCCAAUGGAGCCAUCAGAGGUUCAUGUGUGAAUGGGGAGAAACCAUGGAGUAAAUAAACACUAGAGCAGCCCAUUGGAGAGGGCCAGAGGUGCCCUGUGAAAGAGGAGGCCGCUGCAAAUAAAGGGGAAAUAUUACAGGAACAUUCUUCACGUGUCAGGGGAAAAGCUGCAUCCACUCAUCUCUUUACCAUGUCAAUCUGCCUAUAAAGCACUUACCAAGGAGAUGAGCACAGGGGUGGGUUUAUAAAAAACGCCUGGCCUCAUAGCUGCUUCCAACAGCUGCGCACUUUUACCAGCCUGAUGUCCCCUCUCCGCACCCUCUCCACUCACACGUCACUAACAGAGGCCCAGCAAACCAUCAGCCCUGCACUUUCUCAGCUUUGUACAUUAGUCAGCGGUGUAGCACAGAAUUUCGCCACCUCGUGUGAACUAAUAAGACACAUUUUCUCCGGCUUUUGAGAGGAUAGCAAGAGAGUGAUGUCUCUACAUCACCCGACACAGCAGAGGCCUUGUACAACAGUGCCUUUACACUCCGAGCAUAUCUGACAAAUGCCAAUACUCCGGCUUUCACUCAUCACUGUUAAUGAGAGGACAUAUUUUGGACGUUUCCAAUAUUUGUACAGACUUCAUACAUUAUGAAGGCCCUUUUAUUCACAGUACCAGGCGGA